GAUGAACGCUGGCGGCGUGCCUAAUACAUGCAAGUCGAGCGAACAGACGAGGAGCUUGCUCCUCUGACAUUAGCGGCGGACGGGUGAGUAACACGUGGAUAACCUACCUAUAAGACUGGGAUAACUUCGGGAAACCGGAGCUAAUACCGGAUAAUAUAUUGAACCGCAUGGUUCAAUAGUGAAAGACGGUUUUGCUGUCACUUAUAGAUGGAUCCGCGCCGCAUUAGCUAGUUGGUAAGGUAUCGGCUUACCAAGGCAACGAUGCGUAGCCGACCUGAGAGGGUGAUCGGCCACACUGGAACUGAGACACGGUCCAGACGCCUACGGGAGGCAGCAGUAGGGAAUCUUCCGCAAUGGGCGAAAGCCUGACGGAGCAACGCCGCGUGAGUGAUGAAGGUCUUCGGAUCGUAAAACUCUGUUAUUAGGGAAGAACAAAUGUGUAAGUAACUGUGCACGUCUUGACGGUACCUAAUCAGAAAGCCACGGCUAACUACGUG
RNAcentral lists this ribosomal RNA (497 nucleotides) under uncultured bacterium. RNAcentral describes it as "partial 16S ribosomal RNA". It matches the Rfam family "Bacterial small subunit ribosomal RNA", at positions 28 to 507 of the family's 1533-position model. The record is from RNAcentral.